GACGCACCCUCCCGAAGAUCAUGCUGUCUCACAGUCCCAUCUUCACUAGCACUCCAUACUACAUGAGGAUUCCCAACUUCAACAGCUAAUUUUUUGACCCUCCUGGUAUGACACUGAAAGAGUGCUGCUGGAGUCACAGUAUUGUCUUCUCCUCUUCCCUUUUGAUGAGACAAAUGAAAAAGACGAACUUCAGCAUCUCCUGCUCCAGAAACAACUAGCUCAUCAGAAGUUUCUGGAAUAAAC
This 243-nucleotide unclassified non-coding RNA is filed under the name Hevea brasiliensis (rubber tree). The record is from RNAcentral. Lineage: Eukaryota; Viridiplantae; Streptophyta; Magnoliopsida; Malpighiales; Euphorbiaceae.